RNAcentral lists this ribosomal RNA (253 nucleotides) under uncultured bacterium. RNAcentral describes it as "partial 16S ribosomal RNA". It matches the Rfam family "Bacterial small subunit ribosomal RNA", at positions 524 to 776 of the family's 1533-position model. The record is from RNAcentral.
UACGUAGGGGGCGAGCGUUGUCCGAAGUUACUGGGCGUAAAGCGCGCGUAGGCGGGGGGUUAAGUGAGAGGUGAAAGGCUGGGGCUCAACCUCAGUAGUGCCUCUCAUACUGGCCUUCUUGAGGGCGGUAGGGAGAAGUGGAAUGGCUGGUGUAGCGGUGAAAUGCGUAGAUAUCAGGAGGAACACCGGUGGCGAAGGCGGGUCUCUGGGCCGAUACUGACGCUGAGGCACGAAAGCCAGGGGAGCAAACGGG